RNAcentral lists this long non-coding RNA (394 nucleotides) under Lathyrus oleraceus (garden pea). RNAcentral describes it as "Pisum sativum (pea) long non-coding RNA (PSAT_LNC017021)". Lineage: Eukaryota; Viridiplantae; Streptophyta; Magnoliopsida; Fabales; Fabaceae. The record is from RNAcentral.
AAGAUGCCCCAGAUAGGCUAUCUUGAAAGAAGUACAUCCACAUCUUCUCGUCAUCUGUAUAUGCCGAGAUCUUCCGAUAAUAAGCCUGCACGUGGGUGCGAGGGCAAGAAGUACCGUUGUACUUGUCAAAGGUGGGCGCUUUGAAUUUGUGGGGAAUCCUCAGACCUUCCACUAACCCCAUAUUCGUGACAUCGAACCCCAGAGAGUUCUGGCAUUCCAUCGCCCUUAUCUUUUCAGCCAGGGCAUCGACCUUACGAUCCCUAUCUUCAUUUCUAGCAACAUCACCAUCGUCCUCUCCCAUCAUUGUGAACAUGUCCUCUUGUCUAUCAACAAAAGGAGCUGGAUGACGCGCCGGAGCCCUGGUAGCUCUGGCAUUAACCUCUGCAGCAAGAGG